GUACUGGUGGUUAAGGACUGGGUACUGGUGGUUAAGGACUAGGUACUGGUGGUUAAGGACUAGCUACUGGUGGUUAAGGACUGGGUACUGGUGGUUAAGGACUGGGUACUGGUGGUUAAGGACUGGGUACUGGUGGUUAAGGACUAGGUACUGGUGGUUAAGGACUAGGUACUGGUGGUUAAGGACUGGGUACUGGUGGUUAAGGACUAGGUACUGGUGGUUAAGGACUAGCUACUGGUGGUUAAGGACUGGGUACUGGUGGUUAAGGACUAGGUACUGGUGGUUAAGGACUAGGUACUGGUGGUUAAGGACUGGGUACUGGUGGUUAAGGACUAGCUACUGGUGGUUAAGGACUGGGUACUGGUGGUUAAGGACUGGGUACUGGUGGUUAAGGACUGGGUACUGGUGGUUAAGGACUAGCUACUGGUGGUUAAGGACUAGCUACUGGUGGUUAAGGACUAGCUACUGGUGGUUAAGGACUGGGUACUGGUGGUUAAGGACUAGCUACUGGUGGUUAAGGACUAGGUACUGGUGGUUAAGGACUGGGUACUGGUGGUUAAGGACUAGGUACUGGUGGUUAAGGACUAGGUACUGGUGGUUAAGGACUAGGUACUGGUGGUUAAGGACUGGGUACUGGUGGUUAAGGACUAGGUACUGGUGGUUAAGGACUAGGUACUGGUGGUUAAGGACUAGGUACUGGUGGUUAAGGACUAGCUACUGGUGGUUAAGGACUAGCUACUGGUGGUUAAGGACUAGGUACUGGUGGUUAAGGACUAAGUACUGGUGUGGGUAACACAAUCUAUAAAGCAUUCAAUGUUGCGAUUUGGCAGCGAGGCGAACCCAAACUCGAAGUUGUCUGUAAAAGCUUGACCAUGUGGCCGAGUUCAUGAACUCAUGCACAUUCUAAGAGUAAAGAAUAACUUAACAAAGUAAACGUUAUCUUUUGUCUAUGAAAUAACUUGGUCAUUGAAGAUGCCUGGACAACUCCAAUCUUUGUGCAAAACAAACUGCAGUAUGAUUGCCAUCGACACACAGGGUGACAUCCUACUGUUUAGCUCCAAGACAUUUUUCUCAGGUUCAAAGGCAUAUUUUCCAUUACUUUAAACGUAACGUGUGUGUACGAUAUUGCACUGGUGUAGUCUAUAUUGGUUAGGGUAGGAUAUUUAGUCUAUGGGUUAGGGUAGGAUAGGGUGUAGUCUGUAUGGUUUAGGGUAGGAUAGGGUGUAGUCUAUGGGUUAGGGUAGGAUAGGGGGUAGUCUCUAUGGGUAGGAUAGGAUGUAGUCUCUAUGGGUUAGCGUAGGAUAGGGGUAGUCUCUAUGGGUUAGGGUAGGAUAGGGGGUGGUCUAUUGGUUAGGGUAGGAUAGGGGGUAGUCUCUAUGGGUAGGAUAGGAUGUAGUCUCUAUGGGUUAGCGUAGGAUAGGGGUAGUCUCUAUGGGUUAGCGUAGGAUAGGGGUAGUCUCUAUGGGUUAGGGUAGGGUAGGGGGUAGUCUCUAUGGAUUAGGUAUGGGUUAGGGUAGGAUAGGGUGUAGUUUAUGGAUUAGGUAUGGGUUAGGGUAGGAUAGGGUGUAGUUUAUGGAUUAGGUAUGGGUUAGGGUAGGAUAGGGUGUAGUUUAUGGAUUAGGUAUGGGUUAGGGUAGGAUAGGGUGUAGUUUAUGGAUUAGGUAUGGGUUAGGGUAGGAUAGGGGGUGUAGUUUAUGGAUUAGGGUAGGAUAGGGUGUAGUUUAUGGAUUAGGUAUGGGUUAGGGUAGGAUAGGGUGUAGUUUAUGGAUUAGGUAUGGGUUAGGGUAGGAUAGGGUGUAGUUUAUGGAUUAGGUAUGGGUUAGGGUAGGAUAGGGUGUAGUUUAUGGAUUAGGUAUGGGUUAGGGUAGGAUAGGGUGUAGUUUAUGGGUUAGGGUAGGAUAUUUUAAGAAUUUUAACAAGCUGUAGAAAAUAUUGUUUUCUUUCCUGUCCUUGGUAUCAGUUGAAAAUAAUAUCUAGUCUUCAAAAUGUCCCUUAAUUUAUAUCAAAUUAAUAAUUUGUUUUCAAUUGAUACAUCUUGAUGCCUCUGUCAUGGUUGAAUAAUGAAAUAGGGGUUUGCUUCACUUAUUGGGACUAAAACUAUUACCAGUAUUGAUGAGUAAGAAGAGUCACUGGCCUCGAACCUAUCUGGUUAAAGUAUCACACUGAUUGUUGUUGGUCCUAGUCCUUCCCUCAAGUGCUUUAUGUUUGUAUAUACCGUAUUCCUUGUGUGCCACAACCUGAGGUAUUCUAAUUUAUUGUUUGUCUUUUGUUACGUUUUUGUACUAUAGUUUCUUUCAGAUUGAUUGGAAUUUUCCCAAAAGAUUGUUUCACCGUAUGAUAAAUAAUUGUGGUAAUAUUUAUUCACCAUUAUUAGAAAUGUACUGGACUUGGGGGGGGGGGGUUCCCCCAAAUACUAAGUCUAAAUGAGAAUGUCAUACAAUGUUUUGUGACAACUGAAAAGCACAAGAGAAAGAAAGGGUGUGAACGAUAUGAAGUUUGCAAUAGAAUGAGAGUAUCGGCCAAAGUGGUAUUGACCAGGGUACGUCAGCAUGAAUCUACUCUCAGCCAUUGCUCACCACAAAUGAAUUUCAACAUCAGGGAAUUCACUCCGCUCAAUAAUGUUUGUUUUUAGUUGUUUUACAUAUCUGAUGUUUUUUUUUUUGUACACUUCCAUCCCUCAUGAAUUGACAUCCAGUGUUGGCUUGUAGAUUACCAAAUGUCUUCGGUUUAAAUAAAUAUUUUUUUUUCUUCCAUGUUA
This is a long non-coding RNA of Coregonus clupeaformis (lake whitefish), 2758 nucleotides long. RefSeq lists it as uncharacterized. The record is from RefSeq and is a predicted model, not a curated record. The transcript has 2 exons. NCBI's taxonomy places the organism in Eukaryota, Metazoa, Chordata, Actinopteri, Salmoniformes, Salmonidae.